RNAcentral lists this ribosomal RNA (253 nucleotides) under uncultured bacterium. RNAcentral's name for it is "partial 16S ribosomal RNA". It matches the Rfam family "Bacterial small subunit ribosomal RNA", at positions 524 to 776 of the family's 1533-position model. The record is from RNAcentral.
GACGUAGGGCGCGAGCGUUGUCCGGAUUUAUUGGGCGUAAAGAGCUCGUAGGCGGCUUGUCGCGUCGUUCGUGAAAACCUGCAGCUCAACUGCAGGCUUGCGGUCGAUACGGGCAGGCUAGAGUUCGGUAGGGGAGACUGGAAUUCCUGGUGUAGCGGUGAAAUGCGCAGAUAUCAGGAGGAACGCCGGUGGCGAAAGCGCGCGACUGGACCUCUUCUGACGCUGAGGCGCGAAAGCCAGGGGAGCGAACGGG